CCGGCACGGUGGAGUAACACGUAUCCACCUCGCCGUCUACUCUUGGCCAGCCUUCUGAAAGGAAAGAAUUAAUCCAGGAUGGCAUCAUGAGUUCACAUGUCCGCAUGAUUAAAGGUAUUUUCCGGUAGACGAUGGGGAUGCGUUCCAUUAGAUAGUAGGCGGGGUAACGGCCCACCUAGUCAACGAUGGAUAGGGGUUCUGAGAGGAAGGUCCCCCACAUUGGAACUGAGACACGGUCCAA
Molecule: ribosomal RNA, 241 nt
Filed under: uncultured bacterium
Lineage: Bacteria
Description: partial 16S ribosomal RNA
Rfam family: Bacterial small subunit ribosomal RNA
Source: RNAcentral